GAAGUUAAUUAAUAUUGUUUAGAGCUUUACUAUUCGUAACAUUGUUACCGAAAAUGACGAUAAAAGCGAGCAUAAAGAGCGAAAAUAUAAGAGAGAACAUUCUAGGAGGAUCCACCUCGCGGGGGACGCAGCCACCACUUUCCACCACAAAAAAAUCGAGAUAUUUACAUUAUAUUAGCCUCCAAACAACUCUUCAUGUCAUAAUUAAUCGAUAAAAUUAACCUUCUCACUGCCGAAUGCGUUCGGCGGCCGAAUAAACUUCAUCAUUAUCAGUCGGCGUAAUUUUCGCGCCAAGCUUCUGCCGGGCAUGCGUGGCAACAGCGCUCAUCACCUGUUAGCAUUACAAUGGCGAGCACGCUGGCCUGUGGUUUGUUUAUCUUCGUUGUGAAUUUGGUUUUGUCGAUUUUAUGCUAAUUCAGCAACGAUAUACGUCUCGGCCUAAGUCCGCAAUCCUCAUUUAGAAGAACAGCUUAUGGCACAUUAUUUGGAAGAGUGGAAGCGUUGCACCAAAGAGCUGGAUAUAUGUUGGGUUCAAGAGAAAAAAUAUCUGCUGUCCUUUUUCAAGAGGUGAGCAAGAGUUUUUGGCAAACCAGCGUGGCAGGACAAGCGAGCGGUGCCUGCUGGUGGCGUCGCUGCGGCGCACUCAAUGUUCUUCCUGAAGCUGCACAGUCUGUCGGGCGAGCAGUUCCAGGCCUGGUCAAAGAGGUGCUGUUCACCUACAACCCUAAUGGCGCUCAAAUCAUCGCUCGGAACGCGUUCUACACUCAGGCCAACGACCUAUGGUGGUCAGAAUGACGAUUUUGAAACCAGCAGUGGGCGGCUGGCUUGAUGGUUUCGUCCUCUUUUGGAUUGACGUCGUCUACUCGCUUUAGCACGACAGACGCAUCACAGCGCUGACCUGCGAGUCCAGUUCACUACUUCCUCUCUUAGUCAGGGCCAUUCCGAGUUCCAGGCUACCGGAGAGGAGACGAGGAGCAGCUGGCCGACGUGGACAUUGACGGCCGGCUCGUAAUCAUGGUUCGCACCUAAGGCCAGGAGCUGCGCAUCUACAAGCAGCGCGGGCACUGCGAGCACAUCAAGGAGUGUCAUUUGCUCAAGCGCAUGACGCUCGUAAACCCCAUGUACAAGCUGUUUUUUACUUCGACGUCACUGCCGAUGGCGUCAGUGAGCUCACCCUUAAACGGGCUCACAUGCUCACAUCAUAUUAUGCAGCGCACAAUGUGGAUCAGAUUUUAAUAAAGACUUGAAUUUGUGAAAAGUGAUGAAAUAAAAUGAAAAUGUAAAAUUGUUGCCCAGUUUACUACUAUUAAUCAUCUGUUGUAGUAAAAAUGAUUUUAAAUUUUCUGACAAUGUUUGAGGUUUGGAAACAGGUAAUGAAUUUGUCUUUUAGGAAUUGCAGAAAAUUUUGUUUAUAUAUGCGCUAAUCCUGGCACAACAUUUAGAAUUUAAUAAUCAAAUAAACUUUGGAUCAUUCAAUUCUUCAGUGUUUUGUAUUUUAACUAGUUUACAAGACGUUUAAAUUUUGAUUUAGUGCAAUAGAAGCUUUUACUUGUUUUAUUUUUUAAAUGGUAUUCUAUUGAUUCAAAUCUGUUUUUAAAGUAAAUCCCGACAUCUUUUGUUUACUUUUAAAUUUCCCUUCAUGCACGAAAUAAAUUAUGUCACAAAUGUAUAGCAAAUUUCUAAAUAUUAAUGACUCAUUCACUUCACCAUGCUCCUCUUCACGUUCCUCGGUAGAGCGGAUUGCAAGUAGACAAGAAAUUGAAACAGGAAUUCCUGCUUUUUCCUGGAAUACCGGCAGGACAAAAAAAUAUUUUCAGGAUCAGGACAUGAGGGGAAUUUAGUUUCUGAACAAUUGCAAUCUUGGUCUAUAUUAAUCACGUUUUUGUCAAAAUUUAUAACUGGAGACAUGAUAAUGAUAAAAUUGACUAAAUACUGUUUUGCGACGUUCACAAUAUUCCACAACAAUCUUAUUAUAAAUAUAAACUGUAUAUAUAAAUAAUUAAUAUAAAUAAAUAAUAAUAUAAUAUUAUAAAUAUAACCUGUAGUAGCAGUUAUUAUAUAUUUACAAAGUGCUAUAAUAAGACCAUUUUGAAAUCUAUGAAAUUGAAAUAAAAUAAUUUAAUACAUAAAUAAAAAUAAUUAUAGGAAAAACAGGAACAUAUAUAAUAUGCUCUGACGGAACAGGACAGGCCAAGAAAAUCAAAUUUACGAACAAAAACAGGGCAGGAAAAUUGUUUCCGGGAAAAAGGACAGGGCAAGCCCGGAACAACCUUUCUUAAAUACGUGCUCUAUUCCUCAGCCUCCUCCUCGUCGCUUUAUUCCGCAUCAUCCUCGGUUUUUACACAAGACGGGAAACACCUUUUACCAAUUAUCACAAGACAUAAAAUCAAAGAUAAAACCCAUAACACCAUAAUAUCUGAUCAGCUUCUAUUUAUUGUUUGUGUUUGUCACUUUGUGGGCGAGGUGAUUGCGAUCAGAUGUUAGGUGAGGAGGGGAGCGAUGUUGCCAAUGAGCCUACUCGACUGGCUGAAGACGUUGCGCGGCAAAUUUAAAACACCGCACUGAAUGG
Molecule: long non-coding RNA, 2569 nt
Organism: Cloeon dipterum
Lineage: Eukaryota; Metazoa; Arthropoda; Insecta; Ephemeroptera; Baetidae
Exons: 4
Source: RefSeq, a predicted model, not a curated record